GUUUAUUAGUUUUCUUCUUAAUUAUAUUGUUUUUUUCUCAUUCAAAUAAUAUAUAAAUUAUUGUUUAUAGGUAUUUUUAAUGAUCAAUCAAAGAUUUAAAAUUAUGUGGUUUUGUUUGUUUGUUUGUUUGUUUGUUUGUUUUUUCUGUGAUCAAUCCCUAGUUUCAGAUAAUUGCCAACUGCAGUGUACUAGUUCUCAGGUGUCAGAUAAGAAGCCAAGUACUAGACAAAACAAUGUAAAUACUGUGUUUUACUGAAGCUUAUUGUCGAAUAGCCAGAGUGUGUUAGAUGUUUUCAUUCACACUGCUUCCUCCUGUUUUCUAGAGUGGAGAAACAAGUAAUGCAGUCCGUUUUCAAUAUUGGUAACCUUUAAGCAAUAUAGCUGUCCUAGGGAGAGAAAGGACUUUCCUUUCAGUGAGUUUUAGAUUAUAAGUGGUAAUUUGUAUGGUGUCCUCGUAAGUAUUCAUCAGUUUGUGAUUAGGACAUUUAAAUGACAUUUAUUACCUUUAGUUUUAGGUUAGAUUAUUAACUUGGCAAAUAAUCCUGAAGAAAAGCUUGAUUUUUUUUUUCCUUAUUUUUUCUUUAGAGAACAUUAGUCCAGAAGAAGAAUAUAAGAUCGCUUGCCUCCUGAUGGUCUUUGUAGCAGUUUCCCUGCCUACACUGGCCAGCAAUGUGAUGUCCCAGUACAGCCCUGCAAUAGAAGGACACUGCAACAAUAUUCAUUGUCUGGCCAAAGCCAUCAACCAAAUUGCUGCUG
RNAcentral lists this long non-coding RNA (756 nucleotides) under Rattus norvegicus (Norway rat). Its description in RNAcentral is "long non-coding RNA NONRATT019415". The record is from RNAcentral. Lineage: Eukaryota; Metazoa; Chordata; Mammalia; Rodentia; Muridae.